This 271-nucleotide ribosomal RNA is filed under the name uncultured bacterium. RNAcentral's name for it is "partial 16S ribosomal RNA". It matches the Rfam family "Bacterial small subunit ribosomal RNA", at positions 524 to 794 of the family's 1533-position model. The record is from RNAcentral.
UACAGAGGUGGCAAGCGUUGUUCGGAUUUAUUGGGCGUAAAGGGUGCGCAGGCGGCUUUGCAAGACAGAUGUGAAAUCCCCGGGCUCAACCUGGGAACUGCAUUUGUGACUGCAAGGCUAGAGUACGGCAGAGGGGGAUGGAAUUCCGCGUGUAGCAGUGAAAUGCGUAGAUAUGCGGAGGAACACCAAUGGCGAAGGCAAUCCCCUGGGCCUGUACUGACGCUCAUGCACGAAAGCGUGGGGAGCAAACAGGAUUAGAAACCCUAGUAGU